This 2224-nucleotide long non-coding RNA is filed under the name Anas zonorhyncha (Eastern spot-billed duck). RNAcentral's name for it is "lncRNA (ENSAZOG00000000677.1)". Lineage: Eukaryota; Metazoa; Chordata; Aves; Anseriformes; Anatidae. The record is from RNAcentral.
GUGAGGGGAAAAACAAACAAAACCGAAAGCAAACAAACAAACAAAACUGAAAUCACCAAGCUGUUGCAUGGAUUGAGCAGUUAUGAUGGGAAUAGGAUGGAUGUCCUUAAUUGCCAUCUCAGUAACUCAAAUCUUUCUGGUUUUCUUUUCCAGGUGUGGCAGGCAGCACAGAAUUGCAUCCAAACAACUUGCCCCAUGUCACACACCGUGCUGAGCACAAAGGCUGCAUCAUGCCUGAUUUACAGCACACACAGGAAACGACCAAAUAAUUUGGAAGUAUUGCAGAGUUGCUCUGUGCAAAAUUGGUUUGAAGUGAGGAGACUAGUUAUAGUUGCCUGAAAAACAGCAGAGAAGAAAAGAACAAUUAAAAGAGAAUAACGUGCCAAAGGACUUGAAUGUUCUGUUUUGCCUCUGAUAGGUGGGAUCUAAUGCACGCUUGCUGUAGAAACAAUCUUGUUUUUCAUCAGUUAAAAAUUAACUAGUGUUCCAAGAAGAAUGUUACUUUUCAGAUUUUCUGCUCCUCUCCCUCACUGAAGUCUUGCCUUGAGACUUGGUAGGAAUACCUCAAAGCAGUUGAGUGCAAUAAUGCUGGAUUAUUUAUUUUGGAUCUGUUUAAAUUUCACAGCAAGUGCUCACUUGCUUCAUUAGAAUGUGAAACUCUUAUUCCAAGGAUCAGAUCUUCAGCUUUUUAUGUUUUGAGGUUGACCACUUUAUUAAAAGCAAUACAAGUACCAAAAAUCUUACCUAUUAAAUCCUGGCAGUAGGAACAUUUCUGUUGUUUAUAGUUAGGUACCACCUAAGAAUUCCAGAGAUAAGGGCUGGAAAAUGUACAACCUCUAUUACACACAAAACAUGUUAACUUAUAAUUAGCACACAGAAAAUCUGAUUUCACUUUUUACAGUUUUCCUUAGAACAAAGUUAUUGCUAAAGUUAAAUAGCUACGGUAAAUUGAAUAGCUAUGUUAUACUGAAUCUCUGGACUUGUUUGUCAAGACGUUUAUUUGGAAGAAUAUAAUUCAACUUGCUAACUGAAUUUUGAGAUUGAAAAUUUUCGCUAUGUUGAAGAGUAGGAAGGAGCCAAAGGUACAACUGAACACACUUCAUUCCACACCUACCAUGAUAAUAUUGUAUUAAGACAUGACUGCAGGAGUGAAAACUGAGCAGCUAUGAUAAAGAAUACAAGUUCCCAUGUAUGUAGGAAAUUUUAGAGUUAUAGGCAAUACUUUCUGAGUAUUUGCUAGCAAUGAGACACCAGAUGAAUAGCCCUUAAUACAUAACUCGUAGCUAUAACUAAUAUCUGCAACUUGGGCACUGGAUGAUAAAUGAAGCCACUGAUUUAAGGGAUUGUGCAUUGCUGCAUCCUGCAUCCUUUGUGACUGUGUCUUAUAGAUGUAACUGAAAUCGGUUCCUUGAUUUUCGUCUUUAACAUCAAGAUUCUGUGAAAAUUUCUGCAAAUGCCAUAAGAGUCUUCCACCACCAUGUGUCACCAAGAUGGGUGAUGGCCCUAGGGCCAAGCCAGAAUCCCAAAGCCCAAAACUCAUUGAGUCUGAGGGCUGACAUGUUGGUCUGGAAAGUAGCCACCUAUGGAUUCCAGGGUAGGGGUGCCUCAUCCAGAAAGUCCUUAAAGAGUAACUGAUGUGAUGUGUGAGGGAUUUACAGGAUGAGAUUGCUGUGGUUAGUGAACAAUUCCUUUCUGAAGUGACAUAAAUAUGUUGUUUGCUGUCAAUUUACCUUGGGAAUUAACUUAUAAGCAUCCAUAACUGACAAGGACCAGUAGGAGACUAAGAGCAGGUUAAGUGUGAGUGGAAAGCUUACCCCCAAAAAAACACAAAAUCACAGGAGUGACUGAUACUGGGUUGAUGGUGAACCAACACUGUUGUCUUCAUAUGCUGACCCAGUGGAUGAUGUGAAAAAUGUUGGUAGUCCAGUCUCAAUGCUAUGGACCAUCUAUUUUUAUCACAGUCAGCCCCCCACAAGUUUUCAGUCUUAGAAGGAGAGCCAGUAAUUCAUUAGCAAAAAUACUACUUCCCCUUGCCCAUCCACAAAGAAAAAGACAACCAAAAUUUGGCUUCUAUGUCAAUUGUUAUUUAUUUCAGUGUCAGAACUAUAACAAUAUUCUCAGACUUUCUUAAUUUUCUGACUUCAGUGAUGUCUGGAAGGCUGCAGAGGUUUUAAAAUCUCAGAAGCUACAAAUCCUUUUUUGUAGAUAAAAUUUCAGUUAAGUC